UACGGGGGGGGCAAGCGUUGUUCGGAAUUACUGGGCGUAAAGGGCUCGUAGGCGGCCAACUAAGUCAGACGUGAAAUCCCUCGGCUUAACCGGGGAACUGCGUCUGAUACUGGAUGGCUUGAGUUUGGGAGAGGGAUGCGGAAUUCCAGGUGUAGCGGUGAAAUGCGCAGAUAUCAGGAAGAACACCUAUGGCGAAGGCAGCUCUCUGGGACGGUACUGACGCUGAGACGCGAAAGCGUGGGGAGCGAACAGG
RNAcentral lists this ribosomal RNA (253 nucleotides) under uncultured bacterium. RNAcentral describes it as "partial 16S ribosomal RNA". It matches the Rfam family "Bacterial small subunit ribosomal RNA", at positions 524 to 776 of the family's 1533-position model. The record is from RNAcentral.